This 497-nucleotide ribosomal RNA is filed under the name uncultured bacterium. Its description in RNAcentral is "partial 16S ribosomal RNA". It matches the Rfam family "Bacterial small subunit ribosomal RNA", at positions 28 to 507 of the family's 1533-position model. The record is from RNAcentral.
GACGAACGCUGGCGGCGUGCCUAAUACAUGCAAGUAGAACGCUGAAGAGAGGAGCUUACUCUUCUUGGAUGAGUUGCGAGCGGGUGAGUAACGCGUAGGUAACCUGCCUUGUAGCGGGGGAUAACUAUUGGAAACGAUAGCUAAUACCGCAUAACAAUGGAUGACACAUGUCAUUUAUUUGAAAGGGGCAAUUGCUCCACUACAAGAUGGACCUGCGUUGUAUUAGCUAGUAGGUGAGGUAAUGGCUCACCUAGGCGACGAUACAUAGCCGAGCUGAGAGGGUGAUCGGCCACACUGGGACUGAGACACGGCCCAGACUCCUACGGGAGGCAGCAGUAGGGAAGCUUCGGCAAUGGGGGCAACCCUGACCGAGCAACGCCGCGUGAGUGAAGAAGGUUUUCGGAUCGUAAAGCUCUGUUGUAAGUCAAGAACGGGUGUGAGAGUGGAAAGUUCACACUGUGACGGUAGCUUACCAGAAAGGGACGGCUAACUACGUG